UGGGGAAUAUUGGGCAAUGGGGCGCAAGCCUGACCCAGCAACGCCGCGUGAAGGAAGAAGGCUUUCGGGUUGUAAACUUCUUUUGUCAGGGACGAGGAGAAGACGGUACCUGACGAAUAAGCCACGGCUAACUACGUGCCAGCAGCCGCGGUAAUACGUAGGUGGCAAGCGUUAUCCGGAUUUACUGGGUGUAAAGGGCGCGUAGGCGGGGAUGCAAGUCAGAUGUGAAAUCUAUGGGCUCAACCCAUAAACUGCAUUUGAAACAGUAUCUCUUGAGUGUCGGAGAGGUAGAUGGAAUUCCUAGUGUAGCGGUGAAAUGCGUAGAUAUUAGGAGGAACACCAGUGGCGAAGGCGAUCUACUGGACGAUAACUGACGCUGAGGCGCGAAAGCGUGGGGAG
Molecule: ribosomal RNA, 399 nt
Filed under: uncultured Clostridium sp.
Lineage: Bacteria; Bacillati; Bacillota; Clostridia; Eubacteriales; Clostridiaceae
Description: bacterial SSU rRNA
Rfam family: Bacterial small subunit ribosomal RNA
Source: RNAcentral